RNAcentral lists this long non-coding RNA (202 nucleotides) under Elaeis guineensis (African oil palm). RNAcentral describes it as "long non-coding RNA (EGUI_LNC005385)". Lineage: Eukaryota; Viridiplantae; Streptophyta; Magnoliopsida; Arecales; Arecaceae. The record is from RNAcentral.
CAAUAAUCCCAUGAAUUCUCGACAUCGUGACCGUCACCACAUGCUCCUGACGAACACCAAUGAAAAGAUGACACAUCCUCCACAACCAUCGACGAGCAUCAAUGUCCGCUUAUCAUGAUCUAGUGUCUCUUCGUCAAUACUUAUCGACGAUAGGAGAUAGGGAUCGAGAAUGAGAAAGGUGUGGAAUCGAAAAAAAGAGAGA